UAUGCCGGAGCAAGGUCGGAUAUGGCCGAAAACCUCGAAUCGGCGGGGGUAUGAGUGAAGACCUUCAUAGUCUAGCCUAGAACCUUCAAGCAUCAGGCACAUAAGAGCAGUAGGAGGUGAGUAUAAGCCAUCCAUAGCCUAAGAAGCCAUGGAUUCCAAUGAGUUUGGGGUUGAAAGUUGAAUAAGGUGAUUAGGGCUUCGAGAGAGUUCGAGAGAUUUUGAGAGAUGAUAGGAU
This 235-nucleotide long non-coding RNA is filed under the name Nicotiana benthamiana. RNAcentral describes it as "long non-coding RNA (NBEN_LNC003118)". Lineage: Eukaryota; Viridiplantae; Streptophyta; Magnoliopsida; Solanales; Solanaceae. The record is from RNAcentral.